This 930-nucleotide long non-coding RNA is filed under the name Spirodela polyrhiza (greater duckweed). RNAcentral describes it as "long non-coding RNA (SPOL_LNC001534)". The record is from RNAcentral. Lineage: Eukaryota; Viridiplantae; Streptophyta; Magnoliopsida; Alismatales; Araceae.
CGACCAACGUCCAGCUCCCCGGCAUGUACAACAAGCAGGAGAACGCCCGCGUGCCCAUCAUCGUCACCGGCAACGACUUCUCCACCCUGUACGCUCCUCUCAUCCGUGACGGUCGCAUGGAGAAAUUCUACUGGGCGCCCACCAGAGAUGACCGGAUCGGCGUCUGCACCGGCAUCUUCAGAGCCGACAACGUCCCCAGGGAGGACAUCAUCAAGCUCGUCGACACCUUCCCCGGCCAGUCCAUUGGUGAGAAUGCCGCCCUCCCACCCUCCUCCUGCCAUCUGGCCUCGGCCGCCGCUGACCCUUCUCCUUCGUCUUCUUCCUGAAGAUUUCUUCGGCGCCCUGAGGGCGAGGGUCUACGACGACGAGGUGAGGAAGUGGAUCGUCGACAUCGGCAUUGAGAACGUCGGCAAGAGGCUCGUGAACUCGCGGGAAGGACCGCCGACGUUCCAGCAGCCGAAGAUGACCCUGGAGAAGCUGCUGGAGUACGGCUCCAUGCUGGUGAAGGAACAGGAGAACGUUAAGAGGGUUCAGCUGGCCGACAAGUACCUCAGCGAGGCGGCUCUCGGGGACGCCAACGCCGACGCCAUGAAGACCGGAGCCUUCUACAGUUGAGCAGCUCUAAUCCCCCAUUUGAUUGCGCACGCUUGGCCAACUCCCACCACCUUCCUUCCGAGUCGUCAUCCUAUUGCUGUUCUCACCCCCUCCCAACCCGCGUCAUCCCCCGCCGAGUCAACUCGGUGGGUCUACGGCAGCCGCCUUUCCAGUCUAUGAACGUGUCAGUUGCAAUACGAUGUACCAGCAUCUCAGGCAAACGGAGAGAGAAUUGAAUCUCCAUUUUAAGAGCCUUGUUCUCGGUAAAAUAUCAGAUGGGUCGCUUACAACGGGGAAUUAUUUUCGGAAUAUAUCAAGACAAAUCUUAAUAUCAAC